GAGAUGGGAACUGAGACAAGGUCCCAGGCCCUACGGGGCGCAGCAGUUACGAAAACUGUCAAAUGCACGAAAGUGCGAACGGGCUACCCCGAGUGCCGUCCGCUGAGGAUGGCUUUUCUCUGCUGUAAGAAGGCGGAGGAAUAAGGAGAGGGCAAGUCUGGUGUCAGCCGCCGCGGUAAUACCAGCUCUCCGAGUGGUGGGGAUGUUUAUUGGGCUUAAAGCGUCCGUAGCUGGCCUUUCAAGUCUCUCGUUAAAUCCAACGAUUUAAUCGUUGGGCUGCGAUAGAUACUACUGGACUAGGGGGCGGAAGAAGCAGACGGUACUACCAGGGUAGGGGUGAAAUCCUAUAAUCCUGGGAGGACCACCAGUGGCGAAGGCGGUCUGCUAGAACGCGCUCGACGGUGAUGGACGAAAGCUGGGGGAGCGAUCCGGAUUAGAUACCCGGGUAGUCCCAGCUGUAAACGAUGCAGGCUAGGUGUUGGCGUGACUACGUGUUACGUCAGUGCCGCAGGGAAGCCGUUAAGCCUGCCGCCUGGG
RNAcentral lists this ribosomal RNA (537 nucleotides) under uncultured archaeon. RNAcentral's name for it is "bacterial SSU rRNA". It matches the Rfam family "Archaeal small subunit ribosomal RNA", at positions 293 to 832 of the family's 1478-position model. The record is from RNAcentral.